This 253-nucleotide ribosomal RNA is filed under the name uncultured bacterium. RNAcentral describes it as "partial 16S ribosomal RNA". It matches the Rfam family "Bacterial small subunit ribosomal RNA", at positions 524 to 776 of the family's 1533-position model. The record is from RNAcentral.
GACAGAGGAUGCAAGCGUUAUCCGGAUUCACUGGGUUCAAAGGGUGCGUAGGUGGGCCUGUAAGUCAGUGGUGAAAUCUCCGAGCUUAACUCGGAAACUGCCGUUGAUACUUUAGGUCUUGAAUAUCGCGUAGGUAAGCGGAAUAUGUCAUGUAGCGGUGAAAUGCUUAGAUAUGACAUAGAACACCAAUUGCGAAGGCAGCUUACUUCACGAUCAUUGACACUGAGGCACGAAAGCGUGGGGAGCAAACAGG